AAUGCAAUAGCACCACCUGAAUCCAUGCCGAACUCAGAAGUGAAAUGUUGUAAUGCCGAUGGUAGUGUGGGGAUUCCCCAUGUGAGAGUAGGUC
RNAcentral lists this ribosomal RNA (94 nucleotides) under Gallibacterium anatis. The record is from RNAcentral. Lineage: Bacteria; Pseudomonadati; Pseudomonadota; Gammaproteobacteria; Pasteurellales; Pasteurellaceae.